This 449-nucleotide ribosomal RNA is filed under the name uncultured bacterium. Its description in RNAcentral is "bacterial SSU rRNA". It matches the Rfam family "Bacterial small subunit ribosomal RNA", at positions 355 to 796 of the family's 1533-position model. The record is from RNAcentral.
UCGAGGAUCUUUCGCAAUGGGCGCAAGCCUGACGAAGCGACGCUGCGUGAGCGAUGAAGGCCUUCGGGUCGUAAAGCUCUUUCGCGCAAGAACAAGGAAUAUAGGUGAAUAACCUAUAAACUUGAGGGUACUGCGUAAAGAAGCACCGGCUAACUCCGUGCCAGCAGCUGCGGUAAUACGGAGAGUGCAAGCAUUAAUCGGAAUUAUUGGGCGUAAAGGGCGCGUAGGCGGACCUGUAAGUCAGAUGUGAAAUUCCAAGGCUCAACCUUGGAGCUGCAUUUGAAACUACAAGACUAGAGGGAUGGCGGAGAAAACGGAAUUCCACGUGUAGCGGUGAAAUGCGUAGAUAUGUGGAAGAACACCUGUGGCGAAAGCGGUUUUCUAGCUAUUUCCUGACGCUGAGGCGCGAGAGCAAGGGGAGCAAACAGGAUUAGAUACCCGCGUAGUCC